GCCAGCCUAGUGUAGUGGUUUGAAUGUUGGACUAUGACUCUGGAAUCCAGGGUUCAAAUCCCUACUCAGCCA
Phrynosoma platyrhinos (Desert horned lizard) is the source of this 72-nucleotide non-coding RNA. Lineage: Eukaryota; Metazoa; Chordata; Lepidosauria; Squamata; Phrynosomatidae. The record is from the annotation of a GenBank genome assembly.